RNAcentral lists this small nuclear RNA (106 nucleotides) under Physeter macrocephalus (sperm whale). Its description in RNAcentral is "Physeter catodon (sperm whale) U2 spliceosomal RNA (ENSPCTG00005002192.1)". It matches the Rfam family "U2 spliceosomal RNA". From Rfam's summary of the family: U2 is a small nuclear RNA (snRNA) component of the spliceosome (involved in pre-mRNA splicing). Complementary binding between U2 snRNA (in an area lying towards the 5' end but 3' to hairpin I) and the branchpoint sequence (BPS) of the intron results the bulging out of an unpaired adenosine, on the BPS, which initiates a nucleophilic attack at the intronic 5' splice site, thus starting the first of two transesterification reactions that mediate splicing. Lineage: Eukaryota; Metazoa; Chordata; Mammalia; Artiodactyla; Physeteridae. The record is from Rfam by way of RNAcentral.
AUUAUUUCUUUGCUUUUUGGCUAAGAUCAAGUGUAGUAUCUGUUCCUAUCAGUUUAAAACAGUGAUAGUGAUGAAGUCUUUUUAAUACACUGGUGUCCAAACAUUU